ACUGGCAGGCUAGAGUCUUGUAGAGGGGGGUAGAAUUCCAGGUGUAGCGGUGAAAUGCGUAGAGAUCUGGAGGAAUACCGGUGGCGAAGGCGGCCCCCUGGACAAAGACUGACGCUCAGGUGCGAAAGCGUGGGGAGCAAACAGGAUUAGAUACCCUGGUAGUCCACGCCGUAAACGAUGUCGAUUUGGAGGUUGUGCCCUUGAGGCGUGGCUUCCGGAGCUAACGCGUUAAAUCGACCGCCUGGGGAGUACGGCCGCAAGGUUAAAACUCAAAUGAAUUGACGGGGGCCCGCACAAGCGGUGGAGCAUGUGGUUUAAUUCGAUGCAACGCGAAGAACCUUACCUGGUCUUGACAUCCACAGAACUU
This 367-nucleotide ribosomal RNA is filed under the name Klebsiella pneumoniae. RNAcentral describes it as "bacterial SSU rRNA". It matches the Rfam family "Bacterial small subunit ribosomal RNA", at positions 632 to 998 of the family's 1533-position model. Lineage: Bacteria; Pseudomonadati; Pseudomonadota; Gammaproteobacteria; Enterobacterales; Enterobacteriaceae. RNAcentral also lists the same sequence under 1 other name. The record is from RNAcentral.